Molecule: ribosomal RNA, 459 nt
Filed under: uncultured bacterium
Lineage: Bacteria
Description: partial 16S ribosomal RNA
Rfam family: Bacterial small subunit ribosomal RNA
Source: RNAcentral
CCUACGGGAGGCAGCAGUGAGGAAUAUUGGUCAAUGGGCGCGAGCCUGAACCAGCCAAGUCGCGUGAGGGAAGACAGUCCUAUGGAUUGUAAACCUCUGUUGUCUGGGAGCAAAAGACGCCACGCGUGGCGUUCCGAGAGUACCCGAAGAAAAAGCAUCGGCUAACUCCGGGCCAGCAGCCGCGGUAAUACGGAGGAUGAGAGCGUUAUCCGGAGGUAUUGGGUUGAAAAGGUGAGCAGGUGGAAGAUAAAGUCAGCGGUAAAAUGGCGAGGCUAAACCUCUUCGAGCAGUUGAAACUGGUUUUCUUGAGUGAGUGAGAAGGAUGCGGAAUGCGUGGUGUAGCGGUGAAAUGCAUAGAUAUCACGCAGAACUCUGAUUGCGAAGGCAGCAUACCGGCGCUCAACUGACGCUCAUGCACGAAAGUGUGGGUAUCGAACAGGAUUAGAUACCCCAGUAGUC